Equus caballus (horse) is the source of this 1578-nucleotide long non-coding RNA. RefSeq lists it as uncharacterized. Lineage: Eukaryota; Metazoa; Chordata; Mammalia; Perissodactyla; Equidae. The record is from RefSeq and is a predicted model, not a curated record.
CUGUCGGCGAGUCGGGAGGGUCCACGUGUAACGGGCUCGGGCCCAGCGGGGGCCGGGCAGACGCUGUUCUUCUGCCUGCCCUCCCGAAGGCGACACUCGACUCCAGCCUGGGUGGGGCCACCUGACCCCCAGGGCCCGGCAGGUUGCUAGGCAACCUCGGAAUACCCCAGGAAUGUAGUCCGGCGUGCGACGUGGGAUUCCGAAAACGGAUGGGGAGGAUGCCAACCGUGGCUUCCAGCUCCGCCUCCACCUCCUCCACUUUUAUAGGAGCCUCGGUUCCUCCGACUGCAAGGUGUGAGGAAAGUAAUAGGAAUCCUAACUCCUCUACUAAUGAAACAGCCAAAAGACGGCGGAGCCGGCCUUGGGUCCUGCAUUUGCAAGAUUGGCCUGCUUCCAGCCUCUGCUUUCUCCAUUCUGCAAGCCACGUUAUUUGCAAUACCUAAUCGCUCGUCUAGGAGUCCCACUAAGACUACAUGGGUAGCUCACUGCAAAUACCACCUUACCUGUGCAGUUCGUGAAAUCAGCUACUAUCUCGAUUGAAGACAAAGCACUUCAGAAUAACCAGACGCAUAAAUAAGGAAACGAAUAGAUAAGCCCCGCAAUAAUUCUGCUCUUACACCGUUCUUCCUAUACAAGACGGUAAUCCAGUGAAUAUCUGUUGACCAGAUGGCUUUGUCGAGGUAAAAUUGACAUCCAAGAAACCAUCAUCUGCUACCUGGACUAUGGCGACAGCUUCCUGACCACCCUGCCUGCCUCCAUUCUUGGCCCAUUCUACUCCAUACGUUUAUUUAAGUCAUUCAUAGGGGAGUGUUCUAUGACUUGUAGCUGAAGCCAUUCCCUAACAGGCAAAUAUUUGGCACCAGAAGUAGGACACCAAAAACAGACACUAAAAUGUGGAAUUGGCUAACUGAAGGUUAAGGUAGCCAGUGGUGGUGACUUUCUAUUCCAAAUUAGAAAGUUAGUGACCAGCUUGUUAAGCAGUAGUGAAACUGUUGAACUGCUGUCACUUGCUAGGCCUUGGAUGCAAACCACAUGCCAACCAAGGCUGUAUUGUAGGAGAAAUCUCAGGAACAAUAGAGAACAUUAGUGAGUGUUGGAUUUUUUUUUUUUCCAGUGGCUUUAGCAAAGUCUUUCAAGAGAGUGGCAAAUCUAGAUUAGACAUAACUGGUUUGAAAGCAGAGAUUAAAGAAAAUAAGGCCUUGGUAAGAGAGAAAGUCCUUACCUGCAGCUGAUAACCUAAAUUGGUCAAGUCCCUCAACUUGAAGCCUUGCCAAGUUGAAAUAAACAAUUUUCUUUGUAUACCCAAGCUGAAGCCAGUGCAGGUGGAGAAGGGAAAGAGGCAGCUUUAUCAGGAGAUAAAAGUGAGGCCCAAAGUAGAAAAGAUGGACUACAGGUGGCAUCUCCACCUGCAGGUGUUGUUUUGAACAGCCUCAACUGCAACUAAGCACACAGAGACAAGCCCCUAGAAGAUUUAAACAUUCUAAUACUUAUUUUUGCUUGUUUUGCAAAAAGAAACAUGAAGUAUACACAAGAAACUAAUAAAAGAGAACAGAGGUGAUAAUAAGACCUCAAUUUACA